Long non-coding RNA from Daucus carota subsp. sativus, 465 nucleotides. RefSeq lists it as uncharacterized. The record is from RefSeq and is a predicted model, not a curated record. NCBI's taxonomy places the organism in Eukaryota, Viridiplantae, Streptophyta, Magnoliopsida, Apiales, Apiaceae. The transcript is spliced from 3 exons.
AAAACCCAAGGGAGGCGGAGGCGGAGGAGGAACCGGUGAGAAGAGUGAGGAUGCCGCGGUCACAUUCAUGCGGCAUUUUUGGAGCUAAGAUACCAACAAGACCUCGACGGAUCAAUAUCUCCGAUGGACAUAUUGAAGAUAAUGAGGCAAAAAAGACUUUGCUUGCGAUUAUUCGGGCAAGAUGGCCUUUGGGUAAAUACACGUUUAGUGACAUAGACGCGGCUUACCCAAAGUGGCUCGGUCUAAGGGUUGAGGAGUUUCUAAAAUAUUAUAGGCAAUUGAAAGGUCAAAGCCGUUCAAAAGCCAAAGCUAUCAUUGAAGAUCACAUAAAGGUCACAAUCAAAAGGACCAUGAAUGAAUUGAAGAGGAGGAUCGAGAGGAAGUCAAGGGAGGAAGGGGUUUCGAAGUUGGCUUUGAAACCGGAAUAUUGGAAUAUCAUUUUUUGGAAAGAUCUUCUCAAGUAUU